RNAcentral lists this ribosomal RNA (491 nucleotides) under Andinosaura crypta. Its description in RNAcentral is "partial 16S ribosomal RNA". It matches the Rfam family "Bacterial large subunit ribosomal RNA", at positions 1832 to 2594 of the family's 2925-position model. The record is from RNAcentral. Lineage: Eukaryota; Metazoa; Chordata; Lepidosauria; Squamata; Gymnophthalmidae.
CUUUAGCACCAAGUAUUAAAGGUGACGCCUGCCCAGUGAUUAAUUAAACGGCCGCGGGAUCCUCCACCGUGCAAAGGUAGCAUAAUCACUUGUCCCCUAAAUAGUGACUAGUAUGAACGGCCUAAUGAAGAUUUAACUGUCUCUUGUAACUAAUCUAUGAAACUAGUCUCUCAGUACAAAAACUGAAAUACUAACAUAAGACGAAAAGACCCUGUGGAACUUCAAGCGCAAUCCAACCACAUGGCCCCCCGCUUUUAGUUGGGGCAACUUUGGAAAAAAACAGAACUUCCAAUUUAUUAUAAGGUGCACACACCUAUUUCUAAACACCUGACCCAGUAUUACUGAUUAAAGAACCAAGCUACCCCAGGGAUAACAGCGCCAUCCCCUCCAAGAGCCCAAAUCGACGAGCGGGGUUUACGACCUCGAUGUUGGAUCAGGGCCCCCAAACAGUGCAACCGCUGUUAAAGGUUUGUUUGUUCAACAAUUAAAGC